Zalophus californianus (California sea lion) is the source of this 604-nucleotide long non-coding RNA. RefSeq lists it as uncharacterized. The transcript has 3 exons. NCBI's taxonomy places the organism in Eukaryota, Metazoa, Chordata, Mammalia, Carnivora, Otariidae. The record is from RefSeq and is a predicted model, not a curated record.
CAUGAACUUCAGCAAACCUUCCUCAGAGGAUGCCCGCCUCUAAUUCAAGACACCAGCCGGAAAGGGCAGGGCCAUCUGAGCCAUCUUCAUUGUUCCGGAUUAGGUUGUCCCAGCCUGUGGCCAGAGAGGUUCUGGGAGGGCCACCUGACCAGCAGCUCGCAGCCACUGAGCUGUAAGGUAAGACUUGCAUGUUUGGUCAUCAUCAGUGAAGCACAGAAACAACCUUUGAGAGAGCUAACAAAGCAAGUCUUCAUGGGGACAGGCUGCACAAUGCAGCGUCAGAAGCAAUUCUGGGACCAAUACUAAACAGUUGGUGUUAGGGAACUGCAGGGCCCAAAGACCUGUAUUGUUUCAAUACAGACUGGCCCUAAAGAGCUGUAUCAUCAUGGGUAAUAAGGUAUUACUACCUCAACCUGUGGUGAAAGAUACAAAAAUUCACCAGGACCUGCACAUUUGACAGUUAAGAACACAAGGGGAUGGCUCCUGGACUUGAGCAGGAAAGAUGGUGUCUGGAAGUUAUGAAGAUUCUUCAUGCACUGAUUGGACUGUGAAGAAAGAUAUAAGUGCUUCUUCUUUAUCCAUUUGUCAAAAUCCUCAUCACUAA